RNAcentral lists this ribosomal RNA (490 nucleotides) under uncultured bacterium. Its description in RNAcentral is "partial 16S ribosomal RNA". It matches the Rfam family "Bacterial small subunit ribosomal RNA", at positions 29 to 507 of the family's 1533-position model. The record is from RNAcentral.
AGUGAACGCUGGCGGCAGGCCUAACACAUGCAAGUCGAACGGUAGCACAGAGCAGCUUGCUGCUUUGCUGGCGAGUGGCGGACGGGUGAGUAAUGUAUGGGAAACUGCCUGAUGGAGGGGGAUAACUACUGGAAACGGUAGCUAAUACCGCAUACCGUCGCAAGGCCAAAGAGGGGGACCUUAAGGCCUCUUGCGAUUGGAUGUGCCCAGAUGGGAUUAGCUAGUAGGUGGGGUAACGGCUCACCAAGGCGACGAUCCCUAGCUGGUCUGAGAGGAUGACCAGCCACACUGGAACUGAGACACGGUCCAGACUCCUACGGGAGGCAGCAGUGGGGAAUAUUGGACAAUGGGCGCAAGCCUGAUGCAGCCAUGCCGCGUGUAUGAAGAAGGCCUUCGGGUUGUAAAGCACUUUUGUUGGGGAGGAAGGGAGUCAAGUUAAUACCUUGGCUGAUUGACGUUACCCGAAGAAGAAGCACCGGCUAACUUCGUG